This 465-nucleotide ribosomal RNA is filed under the name uncultured Klebsiella sp. RNAcentral's name for it is "bacterial SSU rRNA". It matches the Rfam family "Bacterial small subunit ribosomal RNA", at positions 338 to 795 of the family's 1533-position model. The record is from RNAcentral. Lineage: Bacteria; Pseudomonadati; Pseudomonadota; Gammaproteobacteria; Enterobacterales; Enterobacteriaceae.
CCUACGGGAGGCUGCAGUGGGGAAUAUUGCACAAUGGGCGCAAGCCUGAUGCAGCCAUGCCGCGUGUGUGAAGAAGGCCUUCGGGUUGUAAAGCACUUUCAGCGGGGAGGAAGGCGGUGAGGUUAAUAACCUCAUCGAUUGACGUUACCCGCAGAAGAAGCACCGGCUAACUCCGUGCCAGCAGCCGCGGUAAUACGGAGGGUGCAAGCGUUAAUCGGAAUUACUGGGCGUAAAGCGCACGCAGGCGGUCUGUCAAGUCGGAUGUGAAAUCCCCGGGCUCAACCUGGGAACUGCAUUCGAAACUGGCAGGCUAGAGUCUUGUAGAGGGGGGUAGAAUUCCAGGUGUAGCGGUGAAAUGCGUAGAGAUCUGGAGGAAUACCGGUGGCGAAGGCGGCCCCCUGGACAAAGACUAACGCUCAGGUGCGAAAGCGUGGGGAGCAAACAGGAUUAGAUACCCGUGUAGUC